AUUGAACGCUGGCGGCAUGCUUUACACAUGCAAGUCGAACGGCAGCGCGGGCUUCGGCCUGGCGGCGAGUGGCGAACGGGUGAGUAAUGCAUCGGAACGUGCCCAGUAGUGGGGGAUAGCCCGGCGAAAGCCGGAUUAAUACCGCAUACGACCUGAGGGUGGAAGCGGGGGACCGAAAGGCCUCGCGCUAUUGGAGCGGCCGAUGUCGGAUUAGCUAGUUGGUGGGGUAAAGGCUUACUAAGGCGACGAUCCGUAGCUGGUCUGAGAGGACGACCAGCCACACUGGGACUGAGACACGGCCCAGACUCCUACGGGAGGCAGCAGUGGGGAAUUUUGGACAAUGGGGGCAACCCGGAUCCAGCCAUGCCGCGUGCGGGAAGAAGGCCUUCGGGUUGUAAACCGCUUUUGUUCGGGAAGAAAUCCUCUGGGCUAAUACCCCGGGGGGAUGACGGUACCGGAAGAAUAAGCACCGGCUAACUACGUG
Molecule: ribosomal RNA, 484 nt
Filed under: uncultured bacterium
Lineage: Bacteria
Description: partial 16S ribosomal RNA
Rfam family: Bacterial small subunit ribosomal RNA
Source: RNAcentral